AAGGACAGAUAGAAAGAAAACUGUGCUUCCAGGCCUGUUAGGACCAGUUUCCUUCUGUCUGAAAGGAGUCUUGGUGACAGAGCAGAUUCCUUCUCUCAGCUAAGCAGUGGCCAGGCCCAGUGGGUCCUGUGUCCUUCCAAUCCCUCUCAGUGUAUCCCUCCACAGGCACAGAAACUUGUCUCAGGUCAGAAGCCAGUGCUAAAGCAGUUGCCAACUGCCAGCCUGUCUUCCCAUCUCAAUAACCUCCAGAAGAAAGAGUAGCCACAGCCCACAGUCUCUGGAAAUAAUUCUGAAAAGGAACAGGCAACAAAGGAGAAAACUGAAGACUUAAAACAAACAAACAAACAAACAAACAAACAAAAAAAAAACAAAGGAGUGGUUGUAGGAAGAUUUUGACAAUGGCCACUCACUAGGAAAAGGAAAGUUUGUAAAUGUCUAUUUAGCAAGGGAGAAUCAAAGCAAGUUUAUACUGGCCCUGAAGGUACUAUUUAAAACAAUGCUGGAGAAGGCAAGGAUGGACCAUCAGCUGUAAAGAGAAGUGGAGAUACAGUCCCACUUGCAGCACCCUAACAUUCUCAUGCUGUAUAGAUAUUUCCACAAUGCCACCAGAGGUUAUCCAAUUCUAGAAUACAUGCCCCUUGGAACAGUCUACAGAGAGCUUCAAAAACUCUGCAGGCUUGAUGAGCAGAGAACAGCUACUUACAGCACCCAGUAGGCAAACACUCUUUCACUGUUGUCAUCCAGAGACAUUAAACUGUAGAACCUGCUUCUUGAGCUAAACAGAGCUGAAGAUUGCAGACUCUGGGUGCAAUCUUACAAGAGAACCAUGCUGCAUAGCACCCUGAACUGUGUGCUCCCUGGUGAUGACUGAGGACUGGAUGGACAAUAAGGUGUACCUCUGGAGUAUUCUCUACCAUGAGUUCCUAUUGAGGAUGCCUCUUUUUGAGGCACAUAUGCACCAGAAGACAGAAGGAUAUCACCUGUUAAAUUCACAUUCCUUAACUUUGUAGCAGAGGAAUCCAAGGGCCUCAUUUCAAGACUGUUAAAAAACACAACUCUAGUCAAAGGUUAACAUUAUCAAAAGUCCUUGAGUAACCCUGGACCACAGCUAAUUCCUCCAAAUCUCCAACUGUCCACGAAAACAAAGUGCCAACUGGCAAAUCAUUUUAG
RNAcentral lists this long non-coding RNA (1170 nucleotides) under Mus musculus (house mouse). Its description in RNAcentral is "long non-coding RNA chr14:18830905-18832075". Lineage: Eukaryota; Metazoa; Chordata; Mammalia; Rodentia; Muridae. The record is from RNAcentral.